CCCGUCUGUAGGCAGCUGCCUAGGUUACCUUGUACCUAGGUAAGUGUUACACUGUGGGAAAAAAGCAGCCAAUAGCUGGUGGGCAUUCUGGGCCUGGUUAAUGCCAACUCUGUGAGAUAACUAUACCAGUGUGCAGCAUAGUUGGUGAUUUU
Molecule: small nucleolar RNA, 152 nt
Organism: Ochotona princeps (American pika)
Lineage: Eukaryota; Metazoa; Chordata; Mammalia; Lagomorpha; Ochotonidae
Gene: SNORA74
Rfam family: Small nucleolar RNA SNORA74
About the family: U19 belongs to the H/ACA class of snoRNAs. snoRNAs bind a number of proteins (including dyskerin, Gar1p and Nop10p in the case of the H/ACA class) to form snoRNP complexes. This class are thought to guide the sites of modification of uridines to pseudouridines by forming direct base pairing interactions with substrate RNAs.
Source: Ensembl